CGCGAGACGACUCGCGUGUGCAGUCACUCUAAUGCGCUUGAUCUCUGGAUGACUACUGAUGGAGAAGGCUGCCCCGUGUGAUAAUAUUGAUCGUCAGACAUGAAAGCGUGAGGAGCCACAUGAUUAGAUAUCGUGGUACUCCACGUGCUAAACGAUGUCAACUAGCUGUUGGGGCCGUUCGGCCUUAGUAGCGCAGCUAACGCGUGAAGUUGACCGCCUGGGGAGUACGGUCGCAAGAUUAAAACUCAAAGGAAUUGACGGGGACCCGCACAAGCGGUGGAUGAUGUGGAUUAAUUCGAUGCAACGCGAAAAACCUUACCUACCCUUGACAUGUCUGGAAAGCCGAAGAGAUUUGGCCGUGCUCGCAAGAGAACCGGAACACAGGUGCUGCAUGGCUGUCGUCAGCUCGUGUCGUGAGAUGUUGGGUUAAGUCCCGCAACGAGCGCAACCCUUGUCAUUAGUUGCUACGCAAGAGCACUCUAAUGAGACUGCCGGUGACAAACCGGAGGAAGGUGGGGAUGACGUCAAGUCCUCAUGGCCCUUAUGGGUAGGGCUUCACACGUCAUACAAUGGUCGGGACAGAGGGUCGCCAACCCGCGAGGGGGAGCCAAUCUCAGAAACCCGAUCGUAGUCCGGAUCGCAGUCUGCAACUCGACUGCGUGAAGUCGGAAUCGCUAGUAAUCGCGGAUCAGAAUGUCGCGGUGAAUACGUUCCCGGGUCUUGUACACACCGCCCGUCACACCAUAGGAGUGGGCUUCACCAGAAGUAACUAAGCCUUCACCCAAUGUCGUAAGCAAG
This 798-nucleotide ribosomal RNA is filed under the name Alcaligenes faecalis. Its description in RNAcentral is "bacterial SSU rRNA". It matches the Rfam family "Bacterial small subunit ribosomal RNA", at positions 655 to 1453 of the family's 1533-position model. Lineage: Bacteria; Pseudomonadati; Pseudomonadota; Betaproteobacteria; Burkholderiales; Alcaligenaceae. The record is from RNAcentral.